This is a long non-coding RNA of Hylaeus anthracinus, 6983 nucleotides long. RefSeq lists it as uncharacterized. Lineage: Eukaryota; Metazoa; Arthropoda; Insecta; Hymenoptera; Colletidae. The record is from RefSeq and is a predicted model, not a curated record. The transcript is spliced from 3 exons.
UAAGUUGCGAAAUUAAAAAGAAAAAAACAAUUAAUCGAUAGAAAUGUUGAAGCAAUAAGUAUUCGCACAACUGUUUAAUUUUUAACACUUGAUUAAAAAAAAAAGAAAUUUAUAUUAAUUUAUAAGUAUAUAAUAUUUCCGUCGUGGAAUUUCCUUUUGAUUCUAUAAUUAUUGCAACUUUUCUAAACAUUAAAUUAACUAAAUUAUUACUUAUUCGAAGUGUGAUCUUUUUCCAUUCCUCUAUUAGAACCUUUUUUAAAAGUACUUUGCUGGAAAUUUGAUGUUUUCUAAUUCUUACGGAGCAAUAAACUAAUGUGUUUACGUUACAAACUCUACUGUAAAUGGUUCGUCGUAAGAAUCGUACAAAUACUUAUUCCUUCUAUACUUUUACCUACUUUUCGCCUUUUCUUUUAUUAAUUUCACAAAUUAUAUUAACUAGUAAAUGUUGUUUGGACUAUAUUUAUCUUAGAGACUUCCGAGAAUAUGUAAAAUAUCAUUGAUUAUAAAAAAAGAAGUUAAGAAAGUACAAUUUUAUACAAAAGGUUUUUGGAAAAUUGAUCGGUGUACGAAUACAUUCUACACCCACUGUAUUUCUUCGGCUCGAGCAAUAUGAUAUUCCCCACCAUUGCUACGCUUAUUGAUAAUCUGUGGUCUCCAUUUUCAAACACUAUCCUUAAAUAAUAUUCACGAAUUUCCAAGAAAUGAACAACCAGAAAAUCAUUGUUUAAUCCGAAGAAUUUGGCAAGUAUUAAAGUAUAUUGUCUUGUUCGACUUAAUUGUUACACGCACUCGUGCCUGAAUCGAACUUCGCUUGUCUCGUGAAGCACGCGAACGUUUAGUGUUAAUCUCGCGAAAGAAAGCAUACAGGGUGACUCGUUUUAAUUUACAAGCUGGUAUACUUGUGGAGUUAGGUUAAGGAAAUUGAAUACUUGGAGGCUAGAAGAGGUUCGAGGUCAUUUAUACUACGAAUAAUUACUUGUGAAUGGUGGGAAAAGAAGUACAGGUGUUAAGGUCAUUUCAAUGUCACUAAUAUAUUGAGUAACAUUUAUUUUUUAUUGAAUCUUUGGAAAUAAACAACGAAACAACUAAAUAUAUAAUAUUUAUCAUUUGAUAAAUAAUCACAAGUUUAAUAACUAGUGUACUAAUUAUUCGAGUAUUUUAUCGUACAAAGUAGGUAAAUAAAUUUAUCAACUACAUACAUUGAGAAUAUUAAAGCAAAUAUAUAAUUCUAAUUCUAUUUAUCGAAGUAAAAGUUCUUGAAGGUGACUGCCAGUAGAGGUGACCUUGAAAUGUCCUUGAGGCUUUCAAUCAUUUUACACCAUUCCCAAUGCAUCGCCUCCUCGAUUUUUCCAACUCCAAUCGAUUUCUUCCGCUCAACCUGGUUUCCGAAACGAUAUAUCAGCUCGUGGAUCAUAAUAUAUCACCCUGUGGAUCUAGCUAUCAGCAAAUUGCACCGUAACAGCUAGUCGUUCGUUGUUCGUUGCUUUUGAUUUCGAUACACGACAUCGAAUUCAAGUCGAGCCCACGCGAAAGCGAGCCAACGAAAUAGCAAGCUAGUCAGCGAUCUAAAACAAAAAAAAAAAAAAGAAAAACCAAUGAACAUUUGAAGUCACAAGUAUUUAUAUAAAUGCAUAUAUUAUAUAUAUAGUAUAUACAAAUAUUUACAAAACGCUUUGUUAAUUAACACGCCGGAUCGAAAUCAAAGGUAAUACGCAAAUGAUAUUUAUUGCACCCGCCUCCGUAAAACAGUUGGUUCUGUUUACAUUGGGGUGGUCCUUAUUUUAAUGAUUUUUGAAAUUUAUGUUAAUUAGUCUAUAAAUACUUUGCAGAUGUAUCAAAAAAACUGUAUCAAAAAAACUGUAUCAAAAUUCUUCUUUCGAUAACAAUUUAUAUUAAAAACAUUGAAGAUAAUAGUACAAAAAUAAUUUAAAUGGAGGAACAACUUCAUAUUCACUUGCCUGGUAUAUAAAAAAAAUAAUUGAGAUAAAAAUAAAAAAUGUUUAGAGGUUGUUUCUUUAAUUAUAAAGAAGAAUUGAUAGAAGUGAAAGAAUUGCAUUAAUUUUCCAUUUGAAACUUUCGAGGGUCCAAUACAUAUAUUAAUGUUAAAAUAAAACGCUCAAAUUUUGCAGGAAUUUUUUGUUUAUAUAUUUGCAAGGCAUCCAGGUAGCGUAACAUAGAUUUCAAAAAACAUUAAAAUAAUAACCACGCUAAUUUUGGUGCACCGCGUGUUAUGAAACGAUGAAUAGCAUCGUUGCGCAACGGGGAAACGUUUGAUUGUAAAAUGGCGGCGUGAUGGGGAGAAUUGGGGUCUGAGAUAGAAGAGAGGGGACGAGGUGUGGAAUUUUAUUCGUCGUUGAGUAACGUUUAGAGGGAUUUAGAGCUUUUUGCAAAUUAAUAGCAGGGGAGGAAGCGUUACUCCUCAAAACAUGCGCCUUCGAAAUUCGGGGAGCAAUACAAUCGAGCCACUUUUACAGUCAACGACUUAAAUUAUUCUUAUUAUGAGUAUUGUUAGCAUUUGUCAUUAUUAUUGCCAUUGUCAUUAAUUAUUAUAAUUAUUAUUAUUCACGGUCACUGUCAUUGUAGCGCGGCACUGUCGAAGGUACGAAGAGAACAUUUGAUUAUAGAGCGCGGAUGAACAGAUCGAGAUCUAUUAAAAGCAUUCAUUGCAAAGUGGCAAUAUAAAACGAUCCCAUGUGUAUCGAAACCUCUUCUUUUAGACCUAUCCUGAAGCUGGUAAGUGGUUUUUCAGUUACAAUAGUGUCUGUAGUUUAAUAUUUAAGGCUAUGUAUUAUCGUCUAGAAGUUUGUUUUUCCAGUAAUUUUUAGGAAUUAAUUUUGCGAGAACUAUCAAACCUACAGUAUCAGGGUUUUGUAUGCAUAAUAAGACACGUUUCAACUAACAACACAAAUUUUUAUGAAAUACUUGAUUGAAAUCUAUACAAGUUAUAUGCGCUGUUAUGCAGGUUGUGGCAUGAAACGCUCGUUGAAUCGGGCGGACAGGCUGUGGCGGUUCUAGUCGUCUGAGACAGAAAAACUUGAAUUAAAACUGGAAUUAAGGUUUAAUUUUCCCGGAAAAUUGUCAACUAAAAUAUGAGAGCAGGGCUAAAAUAUUCAAGGUAUCGGUAUAAUUCUAGUUCAGACCAUAGGUGAUGGUGCCCUCGAAAUGUGUGUAAAACCAUAAAGUCAGUCGGUCCGAUAGUUUUUGAGAAAAACGUGCGCCCGACUUGAAAAAUGUCGUUUCGAGGAAAACGCGUUUAAAGUUUGCUAUACAUUUAACACUAAUACUGGUGAACAGCCUUUAAGCCUCUGUAACUAUGAGAGCUCUACGAAUUUCAAAUUAAUAUUUUAUAGGCACUUUCUCAAAACCCCAAAUAAUAGGAAAAUGCCAAAAAAAAAAAAAAAAAAAAAAAUCGAAUUUUUGAAGUUUCUAGAUGAUAAUACCCCCUUAAAUGUUAGGUAUGAAGUAGCGUUUAAUUAAUCUACAAAGUGUGCGCGUUAUACUUAAGUACAUUUGCCCUGGUCUUUUCUCUGCCGUUCAUCUUAAAAAGUUUCAAUUUUGGGCAUUCCCUUUUAUUUCACUUUCAUAUCCCAUACAUUUCCCAUUUAUUUUACAUUUGCAUGUCUUUCGUUUUACGUACGUUUUCUAUUUACUUCACAUUUAUAUCCCUUCACUUUUACAUUCACUUCCCAAUGCGACAAAUCUGCAAAUCGUCAAUUUGCAACCAACCAUUGAAACCAACAAAGUUGGUGAAUAGAAAAUGAAAGAAAUACAUAUGUGUAGGAAGUGAACAGAACACGAAUGGGAAACAAAACAAACGCAAAUAGUAAGUGAAUAACAAACUAAUAGAAAAUAACACGACGUCGACAAGGAGUUUGGAAGAAGCUUAAAAAGUGACUUAAAGAUUACGUGAAAGGAAAUGAAAAGAAAAUUGUACAAGAACUUAAAAGUAAGUAUUAACAGAGAAUUAAUUUAAUAUUUUACAUCAUUAACACCCUUCAUUCACCCCUGAAAGUCGUAGCCUUCAACUACAAUCUGUUACACUCUGUACAAGCCGCAGCGAUGUUUCUACUAUUAACGUAGAUGAAUAGCGAUGUCUUAUUACCAAUUCGUUCAAUGUCAUUAGACAAAAAGACAGACGAAUGUUCGCUGUCCAACAGGCCCAUUUCGCUUGGUGCUCUUCUUUCUCGCGCGCGAAGACUUCUAAGUGGACCAAAGAAAUCGUUUAUUGGCCUCCAAAGUAGGUUACCGGCACGGGGCUUCGCAAACUGCACGAUUAAUUAACCAUAAAAAUACGAGCACGCUAUAGACGUCACGCAUACGAAGCGUCCCGUAUUUGUGCAACGAACUUUGUGCAUAUCAAAUGGUUUCGCAAAUUUUUGGCGUCAUCUGUGCGAUCCAACUACGAAGCUUGGCGCUCGAUACCGCUGGGCUUCCCCCGCGAUAACUUUCUUCGCUUCUUCUUAUGUAUGUAAUCACCUCGAGUUUGCAAAACGUGUUUCUCUUUCUGUCGUUAGUUAAUGUCACUUCCAGAAUUUGCUCUACUCUGAAACUCCACUCCAUUUGUCUCCCAUGUUUCAUAGACUUCAUUCUCUGUUCGAUUCUAUUCGUUCUAAUUAAUUAGAAAUACGAUAUUUAUUAGAAAUAACUGAUUAAAAAUGGAACGAAAUUAGAUAAUUAAAGAGGAGAGAAAAUGAAACAUAGAAAAUGAGUAGAAUAUAAAUAGAAAAAUAAAUUCGGGAAUGAAACAAAUAUGAAUAGGAAGUGAAUGGAAGAUUAAUGGAAAAUAAGAGGGAGUUUAAAUAGAACUUAAAGUUCUUCUGGGGUUAAAAAUGAUUGAUAUAAAAGUAGUUGAAGAAGUACAUUUAUUAUAAAUCUUCCAUGUAAUAAUAUAAUAUAAUACACAGAAUAAUAAAUAAUAAACAAUUAUAGAAUAUAAUCGCAUAGAAUAAUUACAAUUAUUAUAAAUAUUAAAAUUAAAUUAUAUCAUAUUCGUAAUAACAAAAAUUAUAACAUAGUUAAAUAAUAACACAUUCUGCUCAAUUCUCGCAUUUUAAUUAAACUUUAUCAGUUAGAUCGCAAUCUGACUCAUCUUCCACGCAUUGGAAACGCAGUAUCUUUGCGAAACCUGUUUUCUAUCGCGGAUUUCGUCUCGAGAUUUAUUUCCUUUAUCUUACAAGUCCAUUUCCGUAGACACGCAAUAUAUUCGCGUCUAAAUAGGAUGGCUCUUACAAUUAGUGUCGAAACGUCUCUAUGUCGAAAUAGACCGUCACGGAUCGCUUGUCCGUUUCACGAGGCGUUAAGCAUUUUUGUUGAGUGCACUGUGGUUACCCUAAGCUAAUGGAUGGAUCUCACGAGGUGAACUUGACUUACGAUGGUUACACUUGCGAUCGAAUGAGAAAGAGGGAAAGGAGGAAAACUGAGAAUUCGCGGUCGAUGAUCAUAUACCAUGUAGAAAAUUCAACCUUGAUGCUUCAUGUGCUUGUGCUUCCUGGCACGUCUGCGUACGAGCUCUCUGACGAUGAGAUUUAUGGUCCUACCUUGGAAUUACGUCUAACCACUGUGUUUUAAAAAGUACUUAGACCGACACUUGUCUCUGGAUACCCGUUGCAGUGUUAUUGCAUAAUAAAUUGCUAGCAACGAGUUCUGCUAUAUAAUCCGGACGAAUGAGCACGCUGCUGUUCGAAUAAAUUCACGAGUUACUGAAUGUUUUAUCGAGAUGCAAAUAUCAACGAUACCCUCGUCGAGAAUUACAUUAAAAAAAUAUUCUCGGCAACGCGGAAGACUCGUAGAACAAUUUUUGGGGAAAGAGUCUCAUUGAGUUUUCUUCGUUUAUGUGCACAAUUGCACACGUAUGAGAGCUAUCCAGAGACACGUGGUUUUGUAAGUAAUUAAACACAUUUCUAUAACCUCCGUUGUAUAAAAUAAACGUAAAUGUGAUCAACGCAGAAUAUCUGAUUACAUGUACGAUAGCUUGAGAGAUCUCAUCAAGAGUCUGAUCUUCGAUUCCAGAAUGAUCUAUAUUUUAACAAAUAGAUUAGGAUAGCGUAUUAUACAUUGUAACGGAGCAGAUAACGUCGAAACUUGAUACCAUCGAUAAACAUCAAACAACAAACAACAAAUAAGAGCAACUAAUUAACAACAAUGCCGAGGUCUCAAAAAAGGGAUCCAAAUUGCACACUCCAAAAUGUGCAGGUGGAGGUGAUGUGAAGUUUCAGUUGAAACUGAAUCUGUUUCUGGAGCUGUAGUUAAUGUUGCGGUUGCAGUUGCAGUUGAAUUUAACUCCACAUAUAAGGUCGACGAAAAGUGUAUAUAUAAUGUGAAUUGACGAUCUGUUUAUACAUAGUUGUAUAACAUACAUAGAUGUAUCUUAAUUAGUAAGAAAUAAAACCAAACCAACACAUCCAUAGUUGAGUUGUUUUCCAUACAUUACAUUUUCUCCUUCCCAUAGUUGUGUUCUAGACAUACUACUCAUUGCGAACCCAUAAAAUCCAUCAUUCCAAUAAUGAUCACCGCCGCCCAUUGAAAGAAAAGAAAAGAAAAGGGAAAGUACCGAGCGGAAUUCUCACCCAAAUUGCUCAUUCAAGCACCGAUCUUUACGUUUAAUAAGUCUCCAAUUCCCUGUCUCCGUUUGCAGAUAUUAAAGUUUAAUUAAUUGCCUAAAUCCAAAAAGAACGAGGAGGAUCGCGGACGAGGACUCAUAUGGAUCGCGGACGCUCGUCUCGAUAAGUAGGUUGAUUGUUAUCCGUGCAUGAAGACGGAUUGAGUAACGAAAAAAAUGGCGACUAUUUCACGAGCAUCCGAGCUCUGGAGGAAACGCGAGCCUCCAGUUUGCAAAAAGGCCUCGUCGGUAUAAUUUUCAUUCAUCCUGAACCAUUAUGCGCGGCUGAAUAGCUUGUUCGAUUGAAGAAGUAUUCUAGUAUGGUAUUAUCUUGUAUAAUUAUUGUAUAUUUGUAUUGUAAGAAAUGUAUAAUAAAAUUUUAUUC